UUUAAUUAGGAUGACUAUGCUGCUGAUGAUGACCAAUAUGAAGAGAAAUUGAAGAAGGAAACUUUGGCCUUCUUUUGUGUUGCUACUUAUGGAGACGGAGAGCCUACUGACAAUGCUGCUAGAUUUUUCAAAUGGUUUACGGAGGAUAAUGAACGGGAUAUAAGUCUUGGACAACUAACAUAUGGUGUGUUUGC
Non-coding RNA from Camelina sativa (false flax), 194 nucleotides. NCBI's taxonomy places the organism in Eukaryota, Viridiplantae, Streptophyta, Magnoliopsida, Brassicales, Brassicaceae. The record is from RefSeq and is a predicted model, not a curated record.